Molecule: long non-coding RNA, 867 nt
Filed under: Suricata suricatta (meerkat)
Lineage: Eukaryota; Metazoa; Chordata; Mammalia; Carnivora; Herpestidae
Description: lncRNA (ENSSSUG00005019323.1)
Source: RNAcentral
CUCCCUCCUUCCCAGUGGGAAUUAUUCUAUAUGUAGUUGUAGAUUUGGUGUGUCUGUCGGAGGAAGUAAGUUCAGAGGCUUUUUAUACCACCAUCUUGGACCACUCUUUUUGUAAUAUAUCGUAAGGAAUCUGAAGAUUUUUUUCACCUUGAGCAAUUUGAGUAAAUGUGAUUUUGUGAGGGUUUUUGGCAGGGGGGGUUUGCAAUGGUCUCAAGGAUAAUCUGACUUUCUCAUUUACCCUCUUACAAUAAAAUUACAGGCAUUUCGAGAGAUGAGAUAGGCGGGCCGCUCAGAAACAUUAUCCCAUCCAUCAGGAAGAGAACCCAAAUUAAGGAUUCCAAAGAUUCCAAAAAGGCAACAGUAUGGAAAAGGAGUCUGUGCUACAGAGGUGAUCUGAAUCCAGGAAAAAAUGGAAGAUGUCUAUAAUAAAAAAAAGGAGAAGAUGGAGACAAAUGAGGUUAUUUCAUCAAAUGACAUGCAAGAAGUACGUAAAGGAAAGAGACAAAGAAACCAGGUUUAUUGAUCCCCAGGCUACAAUUUUGCCUCCCAACAAAACCUGAAUUCUGGAAAACCCCACUCAGCUUAAGUUUUGUUAUAAAAGUAAAUCUCAGCGCUCAUUUAAUUUAUGGCUUUCAGGAGAAGAAAAGCAGAGAAUAUGGUGGUGCUUCGUUAGGAGUUGGUACAUAGCUGGGUAUGCAGCGUCAGACUGUGUCUUUCCUGAGCCCGUAUACUGCACAGAUGACCUGUAUCAGAAUCGCGCAGAGAGUUUGUGGAAAGGCAGAGCCUGGGUCCACCCACUGAAUUGGAAUCUGGAGGAUUGAGCCUGGGAUUUAGGGGAUGAACUAUGGGAUACACUUUCAAUGAACA